GAUCCUGGUUCCAAUCCAGUGGUCUGAGUGCUAGCUGUGCCACUAGAGAUCCUGGAUCCAAUCCAGUGGUCUAAGGCAGUGCUAGCUGUGCCACUAGAGAUCCUGGAUCCAAUCCAGUGGUCUAAGGCAGUGCUAACUGUGCCACUAGAGAUCCUGGUUCCAAUCCAAUGGUCUAAGGCAGUGCUAGCUGUGCCACUAGAGAUCCUGGUUCCAAUCCAGUGCUUGCUGUGCCACUAGAGAUCCUGGUUCCAAUCUAGUGGUCUAAGGCAGUGCUAACUGUGCCGCUAAAGAUCCUCGUUCCAAUCCAGUGGUCUAAGGCAGUGCUUGCUGUGCCACUAGAGAUCCUGGUUCCAAUCCAGUGCUAGCUGUGCCACUAUAGAUUCUGGUUCCAAUCCAGUCGUUUAAGGCAGUGCUAGCUGUGCCACUAGAGAUCCUGGUUCCAAUCCAGUGCUAGCUGUGCCACUAGAGAUCCUGGUUCCAAUCCAAUGGUCUAAGGCAGUGCUAGCUGUGCCGCUAGAGAUCCUGGUUCCAAUCCAGUGGUCUAAGGCAGUGCUAGCUGUGCCACUAGAGAUCCUGGUUCCAAUCCAGUGCUUGCUGUGCCACUAUAGAUUCUGGUUCCAAUCCAGUCGUCUAAGGCAGUGCUAGCUGUGCCACUAGAGAUCCUGGUUCCAAUCCAGUGCUUGCUGUGCCACUAUAGAUUCUGGUUCCAAUCCAGUGGUCUAAGGCAGUGCUAGCUGUGCCACUAGAGAUCCUGGUUCCAAUCCAGUGGUCUAAGGCAGUGCUAGCUGUGCCACUAGAGAUCCUGGUUCCAAUCUAGUGCUAGCUGUGCCACUAGAGAUCCUGGUUCCAAUCCAGUGGUCUAAGGCAGUGCUAGCUGUGCCACUAGAGAUCCUGGUUCCAAUCCAGUGCUAGCUGUGCCACUAUAGAUUCUGGUUCCAAUCCAGUCGUCUAAGGCAGUGCUAGCUGUGCCACUAGAGAUCCUGGUUCCAAUCCAGUGGUCUAAGGCAGUGCUAGCUGUGCCACUAGCGAUCCUGGUUCCAAUCCAAGUUCCGGCCGCCACAGGGAGACCCAUGGGGCGGCGCACAAUUGGCCCAGCUAUGCCCGGGUUAGGGGAGGGUUUGGCUGGCCGGGAUGUCCUUGUCCCAUCGCGCUCUAGCAACUUCUGUGGCGGGCAAUGCACACUGACACGGUUGCUAGGUGUACUGUAUUUCCUCCGACACAUUGGUGCGGCUGGCUUCUGGGUUAAGAGGUCAUUGUAUCAAGAUGCAGUGCGGCUUGGCUGGGUCAUGUUUCGGAGGACGCACGGCUCUCGACCUUCGCCUCUCCCGAGUCUGUACUGGAGUUGCAG
Molecule: long non-coding RNA, 1348 nt
Filed under: Salmo salar (Atlantic salmon)
Lineage: Eukaryota; Metazoa; Chordata; Actinopteri; Salmoniformes; Salmonidae
Description: lncRNA (ENSSSAG00000117364.1)
Source: RNAcentral